UGAGGAAUAUUGGUCAAUGGGCGCGAGCCUGAACCAGCCAAGUCGCGUGAGGGAUGACGGUCCUACGGAUUGUAAACCUCUUUUGCCGGGGAGCAAGCGUGCGUUCGUGAACGCACGUCGAGAGUACCCGGAGAAAAAGCAUCGGCUAACUCCGUCGCC
Molecule: ribosomal RNA, 159 nt
Filed under: uncultured bacterium
Lineage: Bacteria
Description: partial 16S ribosomal RNA
Rfam family: Bacterial small subunit ribosomal RNA
Source: RNAcentral